UACGGAAGGCAGCAGUGGGGAAUAUUGCACAAUGGGCGCAAGCCUGAUGCAGCCAUGCCGCGUGUAUGAAGAAGGCCUUCGGGUUGUAAAGUACUUUCAGUCGUGAGGAAGGUGUUAAGGUUAAUAACCUUAGCAAUUGACGUUAGCGACAGAAGAAGCACCGGCUAACUCCGUGCCAGCAGCCGCGGUAAUACGGAGGGUGCGAGCGUUAAUCGGAAUUACUGGGCGUAAAGGGCACGCAGGCGGUUAAUUAAGUUGGAUGUGAAAUCCCCGGGCUUAACCUGGGAAUGGCAUUCAAGACUGGUUAGCUAGAGUCUUGUAGAGGGGGUAGAAUUCCAUGUGUAGCGGUGAAAUGCGUAGAGAUGUGGAGGAAUACCGGUGGCGAAGGCGGCCCCUGGGACAAAGGACUGACGCUCAUGUGCGAAAGCGUGGGGAGCAAACGAGGAUUAGAUACC
This 455-nucleotide ribosomal RNA is filed under the name uncultured bacterium. Its description in RNAcentral is "bacterial SSU rRNA". It matches the Rfam family "Bacterial small subunit ribosomal RNA", at positions 340 to 786 of the family's 1533-position model. The record is from RNAcentral.